RNAcentral lists this ribosomal RNA (253 nucleotides) under uncultured bacterium. RNAcentral's name for it is "partial 16S ribosomal RNA". It matches the Rfam family "Bacterial small subunit ribosomal RNA", at positions 524 to 776 of the family's 1533-position model. The record is from RNAcentral.
UACGGAGGGUGCAAACGUUGCUCGGAAUUAUUGGGCGUAAAGCGCACGUAGGCGGCCGAUUAAGUCGGGUGUGAAAGUCCAGGGCUCAACCCUGGAAGUGCACUCGAAACUGGACGGCUUGAAUAUGGAAGAGGGUUGCGGAAUUCCCGGUGUAGAGGUGAAAUUCGUAGAUAUCGGGAGGAACACCAGUGGCGAAGGCGGCAACCUGGGCCAAUAUUGACGCUGAGGUGCGAAAGCGUGGGGAGCAAACAGG